GACGAACGCUGGCGGCGUGCCUAAUACAUGCAAGUCGAACGCUGAAGGCGGAGCUUGCUUCUCUGGAUGAGUUGCGAACGGGUGAGUAACGCGUAGGUAACCUGCCUGGUAGCGGGGGAUAACUAUUGGAAACGAUAGCUAAUACCGCAUAAUAGUAGAUGUCGCAUGACAUUUGCUUAAAAGGUGCAAUUGCAUCACAACCAGAUGGACCUGCGUUGUAUUAGCUAGUUGGUGAGGUAACGGCUCACCAAGGCAACGAUACAUAGCCGACCUGAGAGGGGGAGCGGCCAAACUGGGAGUGAGACACGGCCCAGACUCCUACGGGAGGGAGCAGGAGGGAAUCUGCAGGAAUGGGCGGAAGGCUGAACGAGCGACGCCGCGUGAGGGAAGAAGGUUUUCGGGUCGUGAAGCUCAGUUGUAAGAGAAGAACGAGUGUGAGAGUGGAAAGUUCACACAGUGACGGUAUCUGACCAGAAAGGUACGGCUAACUACGUG
RNAcentral lists this ribosomal RNA (495 nucleotides) under uncultured bacterium. Its description in RNAcentral is "partial 16S ribosomal RNA". It matches the Rfam family "Bacterial small subunit ribosomal RNA", at positions 28 to 507 of the family's 1533-position model. The record is from RNAcentral.